This 497-nucleotide ribosomal RNA is filed under the name uncultured bacterium. Its description in RNAcentral is "partial 16S ribosomal RNA". It matches the Rfam family "Bacterial small subunit ribosomal RNA", at positions 28 to 507 of the family's 1533-position model. The record is from RNAcentral.
GAUGAACGCUGGCGGCGUGCCUAAUACAUGCAAGUCGAGCGAACGGACGAGAAGCUUGCUUCUCUGAUGUUAGCGGCGGACGGGUGAGUAACACGUGGAUAACCUACCUAUAAGACUGGGAUAACUUCGGGAAACCGGAGCUAAUACCGGAUGAUAUUUUGAACCGCAUGGUUCAAAAGUGAAAGACGGUCUUGCUGUCACUUAUAGAUGGAUCCGCGCUGCAUUAGCUAGUUGGUAAGGUAACGGCUUACCAAGGCAACGAUGCAUAGCCGACCUGAGAGGGUGAUCGGCCACACUGGAACUGAGACACGGUCCAGACUCCUACGGGAGGCAGCAGUAGGGAAUCUUCCGCAAUGGGCGAAAGCCUGACGGAGCAACGCCGCGUGAGUGAUGAAGGUCUUCGGAUCGUAAAACUCUGUUAUGAGGGAAGAACAUAUGUGUAAGUAACUGUGCACAUCUUGACGGUACCUAAUCAGAAAGCCACGGCUAACUACGUG